This is a non-coding RNA of Danio rerio (zebrafish), 429 nucleotides long. Lineage: Eukaryota; Metazoa; Chordata; Actinopteri; Cypriniformes; Danionidae. The record is from RefSeq and is a predicted model, not a curated record.
CAUUUUAUAUUCAGGGAAAUCCACAUUGAAGGACUGAUGUUACUUUCUCCAAUACAGCAGGUGGCGGUGUGCAGUUUUACUCUGCACUCUGACUCUACGCACAGCCAGUAGAAGAAGUGGUGCGUAGCGUCUAAACUUUCUGCUCCACAUCCAGCGUUAAUACUGCUUUAGUUUCCUCUAGAGUUUCUGCUGGAGAUCAAACUUUUCAGAUCCAUCAUGGAGGACACGCACACUUCUGGAGAUCUGGAUUUGUUUGCCUCAUGGAGAAUGGAUUGUCUACGUGUUUGCAAAAUGGAAGUCGUGCGACAUCUUCCCUAUCCACCUUACUCUGAGGAAAUGAGUGAACUUGAAAUCUCUCAAUACUGUCAGUGUGGAUGGAGAUGAUCAGACUGGAGACCUGCAGCAGGAUUCACUCCAACCAGAACAUGA